AUGGUGAUGGUGAGCGUGCAGCAGAGCCCCAUGGUGCGGUCGGAGGAGGACCUGGGCCCGCCGUGGCUGCGGCCGCUGCUGGGCACGAGCUUCUUCGUGCCCUGCCCGGCGCACCCGGACCUGAGCAAGAACGAGUGCAACCUCUUCUGCCUCGGCUGCAACCACGCCGCCGGCGCCCUCUGCUCCUACUGCGUCCCGGCGCACCGCGACCACCACGUCGUCCAGAUACGUCGUUCGUCGUACCACAACGUGAUCCGGGUGUCGGAGGUGGGGAAGCUGAUCGACAUCGCGCACGUGCAGACGUACGUGAUCAACAGCGCUAAGAUCGUGUUCCUCAACGGCCGGCCGCAGGCCAGGCCCGGCAAGGGCGUCACCAACACCUGCGAGAUCUGCUGCCGCAGCCUCCCGGACUCGUUCCGCUUCUGCUCCCUCGGAUGCAAGCUCGGGGGGAUGCAGUGGGACCCGACCCUGACAUUCGCCAUCCGGCCGAAGCGUAGCCAGGACUCCGGCGGAGAAGGGUACGGCUCCGACGACGACUCGUUCAGCCCGAGGAAGCAGCUCCGGAGGGCCGGGUUCGAGCUCGGGCGGUUCGACCGGGGUGUCCGGUGGUCUGAUGAUGAGGGCAGCAAGUCCAACACCCGUCCGAUGACGCCGACCACGCCACCGAUCAGCCGGUGCCGGCCGUCCAGGAGGAAGGGCAUCCCCCACCGCGCCCCGUUCUACGGUUAG
This 729-nucleotide ribosomal RNA is filed under the name Triticum aestivum (bread wheat). RNAcentral describes it as "partial small subunit ribosomal RNA". Lineage: Eukaryota; Viridiplantae; Streptophyta; Magnoliopsida; Poales; Poaceae. The record is from RNAcentral.